UUAACAGAAAUCAUCAAAUGCAACCAGAAGUUGUCAACUAAUUUAAAGGACACUGUGUUCUGUUCCUGUUGUGUUUGAAGAUGACGACCUUCAGGAUGUCAGGGCCUCCAUGGAGAGACGGCAGCAAGAAGAGGACGACCUGAGCCUCGGUUCCCCCGAGCGGUUUGGGUCGGUCCGGCACGCCAU
Molecule: long non-coding RNA, 186 nt
Organism: Thalassophryne amazonica
Lineage: Eukaryota; Metazoa; Chordata; Actinopteri; Batrachoidiformes; Batrachoididae
Exons: 3
Source: RefSeq, a predicted model, not a curated record